Molecule: long non-coding RNA, 2718 nt
Organism: Leucoraja erinaceus (little skate)
Lineage: Eukaryota; Metazoa; Chordata; Chondrichthyes; Rajiformes; Rajidae
Exons: 3
Source: RefSeq, a predicted model, not a curated record
UCUCUACUGUGCACCUGUUGAUGUUCGAGAGAGUCCUCCUCGACAUACCGACUCUCCGUAAUUUUAUUGGAGCUGUUUAUUGGGGUUUAUAUUUAUUAAUGUUCUUUGUUCUAAAACAUGAAUUAACUUUUGAGGCUGCCUCAAAAAUAUGCAAAUGCCCAGAAUUAAUGGGAAAAAAUAGUCAAUGAUGAUUAAUUCAUGAUUAGUGAUGUAUACCUCUAAAUCCUGCUCUUCUCUGAAAUCAGCUGAAAAGUAAUUUUAAAGCUGGAUAGUACAAAAGCUGCAUUAUUAUCUGAUGGAUAACAAUCAUUAAAUAAAUAAACGUGUAAUUGUUUCCAUCAAUAGGAGCUAUAGGUAUGUAGAAAUGGUUAAAUGAAACGUGUUCCAUCUAACACAUCCCCUAUCACAUCAUAUAAUUUCCAACAUGCACAUCAGCUGCUUUAACAAAAUUAGAUGGAAUCAGAAGACUGUUUUCUAAUACACUGAACUGCAAAAAUGGUUUGUUAUGUAAUUUUCAAAAUGGCGUUUCCAUGUCCCUGGUUUGACUUUCAAUGGGGUAAUCAGCAAAGGUCACCUGCUUCCCACCCACGGAAAGAAAAUUAAUGACUAUGUAACUGCAGAGUUCUCUUCUUGUGUACUGGGUUUUAAAAAAAUACACUCUAUUCAGAGUAAAAAAUGUACACAAAAUAGGAACUGUGCAAAAAUUCUAUUGACAUUCUCGGAGGCUAUACAUACAUUCAAUGCUUCGUAAUGUAGUGUUUACCAAAUUCUACCCGACACCCUUGCCGUGGUGAAUUACUGUUGGUUUAUAGUAAAAUCUCUCAAAUCACAAUCACACAGUGCUGCCCACAAUCUUGCUGCCCACCUUUCCCGGGAAUGGUGCGUAAUGAACUGGGAUCGAGUGUGGUGUGAACAUGUUGGAACAAUAAACCAAAACGAGCCAACAACUGCCGGAAUAUUAACUCAUAGGUUGGGGUUUCUCUCAAAUAUAUUUUCUUGCUGGUUCUUCCAGGUAAUGAAUAUUCCCAGGCUGCAAGGUCAAGCCACAAUCUUUGUUCACACCAAUUUAUUUCCAAAAGUUUUCCGUUUGGAGGUUAAUUGUGGAGGCAUUAUUCCAGUUUAGCAUGAAGUCAACCUGGGACCUGAAGUGGGUUAUUGUGAGUUUCCCAUAGCAUUGAUUUACUGCACUAAUAUAUCCCUUUAGCCACAAGGGCCACAUCUAACUCCCUCUUAAAUAUAGCCAAUGAACUGACCUCAACUACUUUCUGUGGCAGAGAAUUCCACAGAUUCUCUGUGUGAAUUGCAUUGCUCUGAUGAAGAACAUUGUCGUGAUAUGGAGUUCACCUCCAUCUGGGGAUGCUUCAUAUAGUCUUAUUGGAUGGCCCUGAUUCCAUCAGCUUGUCCUUUUGCAGUAGUUUGUGAUUCUUUUAUAUCAUGGAGUCACAGAGUGGUACAGCGUGGAAACAGGCCCUUUGGCCCAACUUGUCCACACUGGCUAAUAUGUCCCAGCUACACUAGUCUGACCUGCCUGCGCUUGAUCCAUAUCCCUCCAAACUUGUCCUAUCCAUGUACCUGUCUAAAUGCUUCUUAAACGUUGGGAUAGUCCCAGCCUCAACCACCUCCUCUGGCAGCUUAUUCCAUACACCUACCACUCUUUGUGUGAAAAGGUUACCUCUCAGAUUCCUAUUAAAUCUUUUCCUCUUCACCUUGAACCUAUGUCUUCUGGUCCUCGAUUCCCCUAAUCUGGGUCAGAAAUUCUGUGCAUCUACCUGAUCUAUUCCUCUCAUGAUUUUACACGCUUCAGACGUUCAUAAUUGUCUAUGACGGCUGUAGAAAAUAAGGUUUGGAGACUAACUAAUUAGCAUAUCACUCAACAAAGUUAAUCAUCAGCAUUCGUGGAGGAAGUACCAACAUCAUAACUCUGCUACAUAAGCAAUUGCAUCGUAAUGAAAGAGUAAAGUCCUGGCCAAUAUAAUUCUGACAGGUGUUAAUGUACACAGAAAAAUGGACGAGAAGAAAUAAUGUUCUUCUUUUCAGUGCUAUGUUUAUUGAUUUGUUAAUAGUUUUAAGCAUUUGUUUUCUCCAAGUUAAUAACAAAUAGCCAAGUUCCUAGCAAUGAUUUAUCCUUCUUUCCUGAAAUAUAAUAAACAGCAGACUUUCCAGGCAUUGAGAACCCUUCCUGUUGGUAGGUUUUUGUUAAUGAUUACCAUUUACACUGUUCGAAGGCCUACUGUUCCAAUAGUGAAACAAAGAAAGAUUCUUCAGAGUGAAAACCAACAGUGUGCGCUUACAUGAGUAGCGGGACGGUGCAGGACAAAUCUAUCGAUAAUUAUCAUGGUGAGAUCAGACAAAGUAACAUGGACUCUCUUUUUUGUUCUUCUACAUGUAAAAGCUUCCACCGCAGCACUACCAAAAUUUGGCUCAAAUAUGACUGUCGUAUCUGUUCCAGAAGAUACACCUAUAGGUUGGUUUACUAUUAAUGUUUAGGAAAAAGAAAUUCUUCAUGAAUUCAGAUACAUUUUCAAACGUGCUAAAAACAGAAUUUAGGUUUUUACAUAUCGUGGUCAUGAGGGACCUAAUUGCCUUACCAGUGAUGUUUAUUUUGGUGUGUUGUGUAGAUAUAGUGCAUACAUUGUGUGAUGAAACUACAAAAAAAAACUCUAUUGAACAAAUGUGAGCUAGAUAUUGGAAGGUUUGCAAUAAACAUUUCCCAGCAAA